Molecule: transfer RNA, 60 nt
Filed under: Berylmys berdmorei (Berdmore's Berylmys)
Lineage: Eukaryota; Metazoa; Chordata; Mammalia; Rodentia; Muridae
Description: tRNA-Ser
Source: RNAcentral
AAGAAAGCACUGCAAGAACUGCUAAUUCAUGCCCCCAUACCUAAACAUAUGGCUUUCUUA